GCAGCAGUGGGGAAUCUUACACAAGGGAGGCAAGCCUGAUCCAGCACAACCGCGAAACCAAGAAGCCGCUAGGCUGCGUGAGCGAUGAAUGCCUGAAGAUCGUAAACCCUCUAUCCCGGAGGGACUGACGGUACCUGAGAAUAAGCACCGCUACUUCG
This 158-nucleotide ribosomal RNA is filed under the name uncultured bacterium. Its description in RNAcentral is "partial 16S ribosomal RNA". The record is from RNAcentral.